RNAcentral lists this transfer RNA (71 nucleotides) under Candida sojae. RNAcentral describes it as "tRNA-Ala". It matches the Rfam family "tRNA". From Rfam's summary of the family: Transfer RNA (tRNA) molecules are approximately 80 nucleotides in length. Their secondary structure includes four short double-helical elements and three loops (D, anti-codon, and T loops). Lineage: Eukaryota; Fungi; Ascomycota; Pichiomycetes; Serinales; Debaryomycetaceae. The record is from RNAcentral.
GGGAUCCUAGAUCAAUGGUAGAUCACUUGCUUUGCAUGUGAGUAAUAUCGGUUCGACUCCGAUGGAUUCCA